Molecule: long non-coding RNA, 1548 nt
Organism: Oncorhynchus tshawytscha (Chinook salmon)
Lineage: Eukaryota; Metazoa; Chordata; Actinopteri; Salmoniformes; Salmonidae
Source: Ensembl
AAUUAAUUUAGUUAUUUAUUUAGUUAUUUAUUUAGUUAUUUAGUUAUGUAUUUAUUAAUUAAUGUAGUUAGUUAUUUAGUUAUUUAUUAAUUUAGUUAUUUAUUUAGUUAUUUAUUAAUUUAGUUAUUUAUUUAGUUAGUGUUCUGUGUUAUUUAUUUUUUCUCAUUUUGUGGGAUCUAAAUCAGAGUAAGCUGUGUGUGUGUGUCGCUGGCUUACACUAAUUAGCUCCAACUCUGAGGAAUAAUACUGGCCUACAGUCGUAUGGCUUCAACAAGACAUUACUGUAAAAUCAGAGGAAUAAUAUGGUCCUACAGUCGUAUGGCUUCAACAGGACAUUACUGUAAAAUCAGAGGAAUAAUAUUGGCCUACAGUCGUAUGGCUUCAACAGGACAUUACUGUAAAAUCAGAGGAAUAAUAUUGGCCUACAGUCGUAUGGCUUCAACAGGACAUUACUGUAAAAUCAGAGGAAUAAUAUUGAACUACAGUCGUAUGGCUUCAACAGGAUAUUACUGUAAAAUCAGAGGAAUUAAUAUGGGCCUACAGUCGUAUGGCUUCUACAGGACAUUACUGUAUAAAGUCUGAACGCCCUCCACAUCCCUUUACCCUGAGGUUAAUGCUGAUGGGUCAUAUGCAAUAAGUCGUAGUGUUGUUUAUAUAUAUAUAUAUGUAUAUGUAUAUAAUGCAAAUUAAUUACUUAAAAAUCAUACAAUGUGAUUUUCUGGAUUUUUGUUUUAGAUUCCGUCUCUCACAGUUGAAGUGUACCUAUGAUAAAAAUUACAGACCUCUACAUGCUUUGUAAGUGGGAAAACCUGCAAAAUCGGCAGUGUAUCAAAUACUUGUUCUCCCUACUGUAUGUAUAUAUAUAUAUACGGUACCAGUCAUAGUUGGACACACCUACUCAUUCAAGGGUUUUUCUUUAUUUUUACUGUUUUCUCUCUAUAUCUCUCUGGAACUCCUUCCAGACUGUUGGAAAAGCAUUCCAGGUGAAGCUGGUUGAGAGAAUGUCAAGAGUGUGCAACAGCUGUUAUCAAAGGCAAAGAAUGGGUAGCUACUUUGAAGAAUCUAAAAUAUAUUUUUUGAUUUGUUUAACACUUUUUUUUUUGUUGGUUACUACAUGAUUCCAUAUGUGUUAUUUCAUAGUUUUGACGUCUUCACUGUUAUUCUACAAUGUAGACAAUAGUAAAAAAUAAAAUAAAGACACUUUAAUGAGGAGGUGUGGCCAAACUGUUUAAUGAGGAGGUGUAGCCAAACUGUUUAAUGAGGAGGUGUGGCCAAACUGUUUAAUGAGGAGGUGUGGCCAAACUGUUUAAUGAGGAGGUGUGACCAAAUUGUUUAAUGAGGAGGUGUGGCCAAACGGUUUAAUGAGGAGGUGUGGCCAAACUGUCUAAUGAGGAGGUGUGGCCAAACUGUUUAAUGAGGAGGUGUGGCCAAACUGUUUAAUGUGGAGGUGUGGCCAAACUAUUUAAUGCGGAGGUGUGGCCAAACUGUUUAAUGAGGAGGUGUGGCCAAACUGUUUAAUGAUGGGGGUGUGGCCAAACUGUUGAAUGG